GCCCACGAGAAAAAAAGUAGAAAUCCUUUCCAUUUAAAGUGGUCCUACUCCUAAGUUGAAAACAGUGUAGUUGUGACGUAAUUAUCGAAAUGGUGUAUUUAUGCAGUCAUAAAGAACUAAACUUGUUAGAAGUGGGUGGUUCAUAAUUAGGUUUUCAGAUAUUAAAUUUUUAUCAAGUCUGGAUGACUGAGUGAAACCCAACUAUUCAUAGACUUGAAAUAAAUACAUACAGUAACUUUCAAGUUUCAAGACUGAGAUCAAUAGAACCUUUUCGUAAAUG
Non-coding RNA from Paramuricea clavata, 280 nucleotides. NCBI's taxonomy places the organism in Eukaryota, Metazoa, Cnidaria, Anthozoa, Malacalcyonacea, Plexauridae. The record is from the annotation of a GenBank genome assembly.